AUCGAACGCUGGCGGCAGGCCUAACACAUGCAAGUCGAACGGCAGCACAGAAGAGCUUGCUCUUUGGGUGGCGAGUGGCGGACGGGUGAGUAAUGUCUGGGAAACUGCCCGAUGGAGGGGGAUAACUACUGGAAACGGUAGCUAAUACCGCAUAACGUCGCAAGACCAAAGUGGGGGACCUUCGGGCCUCACACCAUCGGAUGUGCCCAGAUGGGAUUAGCUAGUAGGUGGGGGAACGGCUCACCUAGGCGACGAUCCCUAGCUGGUCUGAGAGGAUGACCAGCCACACUGGAACUGAGACACGGUCCAGACUCCUACGGGAGGCAGCAGUGGGGAAUAUUGCACAAUGGGCGCAAGCCUGAUGCAGCCAUGCCGCGUGUAUGAAGAAGGCCUUCGGGUUGUAAAGUACUUUCAGCGGGGAGGAAGGCGGUGAGGUUAAUAACCUUGCCGAUUGACGUUACCCGCAGAAGAAGCACCGGCUAACUCCGUGCCAGCCGCCGCAGUAA
RNAcentral lists this ribosomal RNA (506 nucleotides) under uncultured bacterium. Its description in RNAcentral is "partial 16S ribosomal RNA". It matches the Rfam family "Bacterial small subunit ribosomal RNA", at positions 29 to 523 of the family's 1533-position model. The record is from RNAcentral.